This 235-nucleotide long non-coding RNA is filed under the name Homo sapiens (human). RNAcentral's name for it is "HSALNT0086246". Lineage: Eukaryota; Metazoa; Chordata; Mammalia; Primates; Hominidae. The record is from RNAcentral.
GUUUGAUAAUAAAAGACUUUGUCAACUUCAUUUUUCCAAACCUUUCCCUUCUUUGUGUUUCCAACAGGAAGAAUAUCAAGAGCCCUUAAGAGACUUCUAUUUACUCUACGAAGUUAUUGAUAAAACCCUCAUUUUUUAGUCAAGAUUGCAAAGAAAAUUCAUUUCAGUUCUACAUUUGGUGCCAAGCGUUGUUAGUUGCAGAUAAAUAAGAUAGAAUCCAGCUCUUAAGAAAUUC